CGCCCUUAGAGUUUGAUCAUGGCUCAGGACGAACGCUGGCGGCGUGCCUAAUACAUGCAAGUCGAACGCAGCUUGCUUUGGUAAGAUGAGUGGCGAACGGGUGAGUAACACGUGGGUAACCUGCCUAUCAGAGGGGGAUAACACUUGGAAACAGGUGCUAAUACCGCAUAGAUUUCUUUCGCAUGAAAAGAGAGGAAAGACGUACGUGUCACUGAUAGAUGGACCCGCGGUGCAUUAGCUAGUUGGUGAGGUAACGGCUCACCAAGGCCAUGAUGCAUAGCCGACCUGAGAGGGUGAUCGGCCACACUGGGACUGAGACACGGCCCAGACUCCUACGGGAGGCAGCAGUAGGGAAUCUUCGGCAAUGGACGAAAGUCUGACCGAGCAACGCCGCGUGAGUGAAGAAGGUUUUCGGAUCGUAAAACUCUGUUGUUAGAGAAGAAUAGGUAGGAGUGACUUCCUGCCAUGACGGUAUCUAACCAGAAAGCCACGGCUAACUACGUGCCAGCAGCCGCGGUAAUACGUAGUGGCAAGCGUUGUCCGGAUUUAUUGGGCGUAAGCGAGCGCAGGCGGUUUCUUAAGUCUGAUGUGAAAGCCCCCGGCUUAACCGGGGAGGGUCAUUGGAAACUGGGAGACUUGAGUGCA
RNAcentral lists this ribosomal RNA (645 nucleotides) under uncultured Vagococcus sp. RNAcentral describes it as "bacterial SSU rRNA". It matches the Rfam family "Bacterial small subunit ribosomal RNA", at positions 1 to 650 of the family's 1533-position model. The record is from RNAcentral. Lineage: Bacteria; Bacillati; Bacillota; Bacilli; Lactobacillales; Enterococcaceae.